GGGGGCGAAUGUGAUGCAUUCCCAAACUCAGUAUGUGAUACUGCAGUAAUGCUCGUCUGCGUCUGCCCUAUGGCACGAAGCUACAUUGCAAAUAGUGACAAGACUAGAUGUGAUUAUAGUUGUGGUGCAGUAGUGAAUCCAGCAAACGGAACAGUGGCAACAAACGCAACAAUACCCGGUAGUGUUGCUACAUACGCAUGCAACCCCGGUUUCAUAAUAUACGGUGUGAAUACCAGAACGUGCGUUGUGAACACAGGGUGGUCCGGUUAUCAACCGACAUGUGUUGCAGGAAAAUUAAAUGACAACUGUUCUGGAAAAUUUGAUUUGUGUGCAACCAUCGCAAAUGGGCAAUGUUCUGAUGGAUUGUGCAAGUGUAAUGCCGGUUAUCAAGACGAUGGUUCAGAUACGA
Molecule: long non-coding RNA, 409 nt
Organism: Dreissena polymorpha
Lineage: Eukaryota; Metazoa; Mollusca; Bivalvia; Myida; Dreissenidae
Exons: 3
Source: RefSeq, a predicted model, not a curated record